GUCCCAAUCAGCUGAUUGGGAACUAGAACUGAAGAAGCUUCUCGGAUGAGAGGUGAAACGUCUUCAAGCAACUUAAAGAAGUCCAGACGCUUUUCUUUGCAAGCUCCUUUGACUACGAUGACCUGGAUGACUGAGAACCUUCACAGACAUAUACUGGCUUUUCUACUCUCCUGGAGUACUCAAAGCGCUGUAUACAACUACAAGAUGCUGUAAUCCUAGAAAAUAAUAAUAAGAGAAGUUUACAUUUGCAAUUCUGGAGAAAUAGCAGUGAAAGAAAAUUACCUACAUAAUUUUCACUCGUGGGAAUAUGUAAUUACAUUAAGUUAGAAGUUUUUAGAUGUUUAGAAGAGGUGAUUAAGAGGCUUUUCUAUUUAAGGGGAGAGGAAAUUAUAGGGGAAAUCUCAGGCAGGCUGUGCAGUUUAAAUGAUGCUCAGAUGGUACAAAGGAGCCCAAAGUGUGCCUAAAAAAUGAGUUUUGGUAAACAAAGUGAAGUUGUUUCAUGUUAAAGUAGUUAAUGAGUUGUUAAGAGAGAUUUUAUUUUUGGGGGCUUUUUUUAAUUUUUUUUUUUACUGUUGAUUUAUUUUAUAUAAUAAAUAUUAGUGCUUAUUUAUGAACUGGCCCCUCGCUUCCUGUCUGGUCACACUCCAAAAGCAGACCCAGAGGAAGGAAGUUGACAGGAAUAAGUACUAAAAUCAUUCACUGAUAGAUAAACUGUGUCAGUCACUGUCACAUUGUCUCUUUCAAACUCUGACUUUCUUUCAGUAAACAACAAAUCCUCAUUAACACUGGGCUGCUCAUACCUUACAGUCAUAAUUUCUCAUUUGAGAAAAAUCACUAUCUGCUUCACAGAAGGUGUCAUUCAUUCUUUAAUUUUUGCAUCUGACUGACGUGUUUCAGUCUCUCAUUAAAUACUGUGGUCCUGUAAAAGUGCCCUAUCCGCUGACAUGAUAUGCUUGUUUUUUAUGCAAGACCUCCCUUUGUGUGAUUUCCUCAGGCCGAGGCCGCUGCACAUUUCUGCAGAUACAGCAGAACUGUCUCCUUUUUGCAGGAAAAUUUAUCAGAUCAAUUACUGUGUUAAUUAUUUUGAUUUAUUUGGGCCUCUGCACAGUGAACUUCGAAAUGCAUUACAUUCAAGAGGCAGUCAGCUAAAUCCUGUGAUAUCU
Long non-coding RNA from Astatotilapia calliptera (eastern happy), 1163 nucleotides. Lineage: Eukaryota; Metazoa; Chordata; Actinopteri; Cichliformes; Cichlidae. The record is from Ensembl.